UACGGAGGGGGCUAGCGUUGUUCGGAAUUACUGGGCGUAAAGCGCACGUAGGCGGCUUUGUAAGUUAGAGGUGAAAGCCCAGGGCUCAACCCUGGAAUUGCCUUUAAGACUGCAUCGCUUGAACAUCGGAGAGGUAAGUGGAAUUCCGAGUGUAGAGGUGAAAUUCGUAGAUAUUCGGAAGAACACCAGUGGCGAAGGCGACUUACUGGACAGGUAUUGACGCUGAGGUGCGAAAGCGUGGGGAGCAAACAGG
Molecule: ribosomal RNA, 253 nt
Filed under: uncultured bacterium
Lineage: Bacteria
Description: partial 16S ribosomal RNA
Rfam family: Bacterial small subunit ribosomal RNA
Source: RNAcentral